GUAGGGAAUUUUCGGCAAUGGGCGCAAGCCUGACCGAGCAACGCCGCGUGAGUGAUGAAGGUCUUCGGAUCGUAAAGCUCUGUUGUAAGGGAAGAACGUCUCUGUAAGAAACAGGGAGUGACGGUACCUUACCAGAAAGCCACGGCUAACUACGUGCCAGCAGCCGCGGUAAUCCGUAGGUGGCAAGCGUUAUCCGGAAUUAUUGGGCGUAAAGGGUGCGUAGGCGGCUUGUUAAGUUUAUGGUGAAAGCGUGGGGCUUAACCCCAAUAAGCCAUAGAUACUGGCAGGCUAGGGUGUAGAAGAGGGCAGUGGAAUUCCAUGUGUAGCGGUAAAAUGCGUAGAUAUAUGGAGGAACACCAGUGGCGAAGGCGGCUGCCUAGUCUACAACUGACGCUGAGGCACGAAAGCGUGGGGAGCAAAUAGGAUUAGAUACCCUAGUAGUCC
Molecule: ribosomal RNA, 444 nt
Filed under: uncultured bacterium
Lineage: Bacteria
Description: partial 16S ribosomal RNA
Rfam family: Bacterial small subunit ribosomal RNA
Source: RNAcentral